Long non-coding RNA from Macaca mulatta (Rhesus monkey), 1936 nucleotides. RefSeq lists it as uncharacterized. The record is from RefSeq and is a predicted model, not a curated record. Lineage: Eukaryota; Metazoa; Chordata; Mammalia; Primates; Cercopithecidae.
GUUGCUUACCCUGCCAGGCGGGCGCGAACAGCGCGGGAGCCAGUGUCCACCUUGCUUCGCCAGGGUGUUAUCGCCAGCCAGUCCCCUUCCGCAUGCCCAAGGGCAGCCUCAGGAAGCGAGCCCACCAAAGAUGACAAUCACAUUUUGAAACAAACAGCCAUGGUAUACUCAGGAUUAUGCAAAUAACUGACAGCCUAGGUUUAACUCGUUUCAGCUCCACUCAAAAAAAAAGAAAGUCCUAAUGCAAGUAACCGAAAGUGAAGAUAUUGCAAAACAAAUACUGACAACUGAAUUGAUGAUAUGAUGACAGACUCUUCCCUCCACUGUAAACUAUGGUGAAGAAAUGGAGGCUUAGAAAAAGUAAGUUAUUCAUCCAAAGGUAUAUAUAAGGAUUUCCUUUCAGUAUGGAAUGUCUCUGGCCUGGAGGGGAAUUGGAAUGUCUCCUAUAUAACAGUUUACGGAGGUCAUGUGUAUCCAUAACAACAAGGAUGCUGCUGUUUAAGUUGACAGCUUUCCUUCCCAAUAAACAUUCAUGUACACCUUUUGUCUUUUACUUCCGGUAUUCACCUUACCAUGUAAUAGAAGUAUCAUGUUGCUGCGAGGAUACAUGCAUUGCUUUAGGUAAAUUAAAAUGCAUAUCAGUACUUAAUACCCUAGAAAGCAGAAAUACAUUACACAAGUCCAAUUCUGAAACUUUAGUAUUUUUCUGUGCAGAUUUGUGCACAUGUGAGAGGGUAUCCGUUUCAUCUAGUGAUUGCUAUUCAGAGUUGGACCAGCGUUUUGUGUUGCUAAUGCACCGUGGUCCCAAAAAAGCCUUGCAAAAAUGUUAUGCCCUGUGUAACAGCAGAGUAGCAUAAAAUACACUUACACUUUAUAAGCCAUUUACUGUUGCUUUGUAACAAUUGCCUACUCGUAUUUUAAGGAAUAGGUGAGUUCACUACUUUCUGAAGUUUAUCAUAGUUCUCUUGUAUCUUAUGCAAAGUGUAGUAAUGAUACCCAUAGUUCUGCAUUGUGAUACGCUUGUCUAGAGAAACCCAGAGAUGUAAAAAAUUGUACUACAUUUCUCAGUGUUUUAACAUAGAUCAGCAUCACAGGCUAUCUAUUCUUAAGAUAUAAAUUAUACAUGUUAAGUGUUAUAUGGAAUAAAGUGGACAUUUUAAAGCUAGAAAUAAAAUGGAGGGUAUGACAGAAUCCUACUUGAAGAAGUAAGAUUAUAGGGACGGUACUAGGUCCGACAGUUCCCCAUUCUGGUCAGCAGGUGGCACUAGAGUAGCUUGGAUGCCAAAUGGAACAAAGGGCAAAAAUAGAUCUGGCUCAAAACCUUUGGGUGAAAGUGCGGGAGAGGCAGGUGACUGGUUGUUUACAUGUCGAUAUGUCUUAUCUCUCUUUCUAAAUUGUUCAUUGUUUGAAGUGAGGCACACUUCUAGGUACAACAAAAAAUUGUACUGAACUUUUCUGUGCCUUGGACUCUUACCUGAUAAUGGAUACAAUAAUAAUGCCUACCUCAUAGCAUUGUUGGGAGCUAUUGUGAGAAUAAUGAAUUAAUGCAUGUCAGUGCGACAGUGCAGAUUGCAGAGUAAGUGUUCAGUAAAUGUCAAUUAUUAUGACUCUGCACAAUGACCAUGAGGCACACAUAGUAGAAAUUCAAAAGAUAUUAGUGGAUGCAGCGAAUUGCAUGGGAUGUUCAGAAGCCUGAUGCUUAUAACUCAGAGACCACCUAGUAUUAAAAUAUCUGUAAAACAGAUUGGUAUGGGAAUAACUGGGAAUAAUUACUUACAUGGUAAUGUGACUGUUUUAAAUGUUUGUAACCUCGAGAGUUCACUGAGAGUUCACUGAAAUGCUAUCUCUCUGAGUAUCAUUUAGUUCACUGAGUCUUUUCAGAGAUGUAUUGUGAGGGAAAUCUAAAACAGUAAUAAAUACUGCAAAGCUAGGCAAA